UGGCGGACGGGUGAGUAACACGUACGUAACCUGACCCUACGUUGGGGAUACCGGUCCGAAAGGGCCGCUAAUACCGCAUGUGAUCGCCGGGGGUACCCGGUGCGGAAAGGCGUGCCCGCAAGGGGGCGUCGCGUGGGGAGGGGCGUGCGGCCGAUUAGCUAGUUGGUGGGGUAACGGCCUACCAAGGCGACGAUCGGUAGCUGGGCUGAGAGGCCGGACAGCCACACUGGGACUGAGACACGGCCCAG
This 248-nucleotide ribosomal RNA is filed under the name uncultured bacterium. Its description in RNAcentral is "partial 16S ribosomal RNA". It matches the Rfam family "Bacterial small subunit ribosomal RNA", at positions 96 to 334 of the family's 1533-position model. The record is from RNAcentral.